Molecule: ribosomal RNA, 558 nt
Filed under: uncultured bacterium
Lineage: Bacteria
Description: bacterial SSU rRNA
Rfam family: Bacterial small subunit ribosomal RNA
Source: RNAcentral
AUGCAAGUCGCACGAGAAAGUGGAGCAAUCCAUGAGUAAAGUGGCGCACGGGUGAGUAACACGUGAAUGAUCUACCUCCGAGUGGGGAAUAACCUAGAGAAAUCUGGGCUAAUACCGCAUAACACUUACGAGUCAAAGCAGCAAUGCGCUUGGAGAGGAGUUCGCGGCCGAUUAGUUAGUUGGCGGGGUAAUGGCCCACCAAGACGAUGAUCGGUAUCCGGCCUGAGAGGGCGCACGGACACACUGGAACUGAAACACGGUCCAGACUCCUACGGGAGGCAGCAGUGGGGAAUUUUGCGCAAUGGGGGAAACCCUGACGCAGCAACGCCGCGUGGAGGAUGAAAUCCCUUGGGAUGUAAACUCCUUUCGAUCGGGACGAUUAUGACGGUACCGGAAGAAGAAGCCCCGGCUAACUUCGUGCCAGCAGCCGCGGUAAUACGAGGGGGGCAAGCGUUGUUCGGAAUUAUUGGGCGUAAAGGGCGCGUAGGCGGUUUGACAAGUCUGAUGUGAAAUCUCUGGGCUCAACUCAGAGUCUGCAUCGGAAACUGUCGGGCUUGA